RNAcentral lists this ribosomal RNA (388 nucleotides) under uncultured bacterium. Its description in RNAcentral is "bacterial SSU rRNA". It matches the Rfam family "Bacterial small subunit ribosomal RNA", at positions 28 to 417 of the family's 1533-position model. The record is from RNAcentral.
GGCGAACGCUGGCGGCGUGCUUAACACAUGCAAGUCGAGCGGUAAGGCCCUUUCGGGGGUACACGAGCGGCGAACGGGUGAGUAACACGUGGGUGACCUGCCCUCAGCUCUGGGAUAAGCCUGGGAAACCGGGUCUAAUACCGGAUAUGACUCCAUGACGCAUGUUGUGGGGUGGAAAGCCUUGUGCGGCUGAGGAUGGGCCCGCGGCCUAUCAGCUUGUUGGUGGGGNGAUGGCCUACCAAGGCGACGACGGGUAGCCGGCCUGAGAGGGCGACCGGCCACACUGGGACUGAGACACGGCCCAGACUCCUACGGGAGGCAGCAGUGGGGAAUCUUGCGCAAUGGGCGAAAGCCUGACGCAGCGACGCCGCGUGAGGGAUGACGGCCU